GUUUUCUGAUGGACCAAAGACACUCGAAAACUACUUAAGAGUCAGUGAGAACUGGGAUUCUGAGCAUACAACCAGUAAUAUCCUGAACAAUAAUCAUCUGAUGAAGAUUGAAUACUCCCACUCUCACCUCUAUUCACUUAUAUGAUUAAAUCAGAAAUCUACUUGAAUCACAGAGAUAAAUAAUGGGCAGCAAUAAUGGAGCACAUGAAGCAGACCAACGCCGUCGAGCAGAGGAGGAACGCAACACAGCUCAAGCUCAGACAGCAGCACUCCGGGAACAAUUUUAUAACUUACAAAAAGAAAGAGAUUUUGAGAAAAUGAAACAAGAAGAAAAGAGAAAAAUAGAUGAGAAUAACCGAUUUAAGGAACGAGAAGAAAGGAACAGAAUUCAACUAGAAAAUCAAAAGUCACUAAAUUAAAACAAAAGUAAAUAAUUUGGUUGUGUUAAUGAAAGAUUGAAAAAAAAUGCAUUCUGUAUUGAUGCUCAUUUGCCAUAUGCCUCAAAAUCUCAAAAUAUUAUGUUAGAUGUUUUACAUAUUCUAUAAUGAUUUGUUAAGCUUUAUUCAUAUACCCAUACUGUAUUAUUUGCACCAAAACACUAAUGGUGUUUUAGGAGUGCUCACCUACAAAAAAAACAUGCAGCAUUUCUGUCAGCAACACAUAUUUUUGUUAUUAGUUGUUAUGUCAACUAUUAAAAGUGAAAAGCUCACUGUUCUACUUUUAAAAAAAAACUUACUUCAACUGAUAACAGCUUAAAAAAUGUAUACAUUAAUACCUAAUUUUUCUCACUUUAAGGUUGGGCUGCACCAACAAGGAUUAAAUUAAACAGUGUUUAGAGCUUAUCUAGGGUUUGUUGAUCCCAGCUUAAUUUUUAUUUGAGUUGUGUUGCACCACUUAAAUUUUUACACUGAUUAACAAAAUAAAUGAUUAAAACUUUACCCGGUAUUAAAACCUUCAUCUGUGAUUUAUUUUGUCUGCCAUGAUGAAUUUGCCGGUGUAAUUAAAAAGUAAUAAUGUUGAUGUUGUCAUUUAAAAAGGAAAUAA
Long non-coding RNA from Paramisgurnus dabryanus, 1044 nucleotides. RefSeq lists it as uncharacterized. The record is from RefSeq and is a predicted model, not a curated record. NCBI's taxonomy places the organism in Eukaryota, Metazoa, Chordata, Actinopteri, Cypriniformes, Cobitidae.